RNAcentral lists this ribosomal RNA (669 nucleotides) under Boophis idae (Ida's bright-eyed frog). RNAcentral describes it as "partial 16S ribosomal RNA". The stretch from base 1 to 464 matches the Rfam family "Bacterial large subunit ribosomal RNA", at positions 598 to 1301 of the family's 2925-position model. Lineage: Eukaryota; Metazoa; Chordata; Amphibia; Anura; Mantellidae. The record is from RNAcentral.
CUCGUACCUUUUGCAUCAUGGUCUAGCUAGUCUAACCAAGCAAAAUGAUCUUCAGUUUGACCCCCCGAAACUAGGUGAGCUACUUCAGAACAGCCCCCGGGCUAACCCGUCUCUGUUGCAAAAGAGUGGGAUGAUUUUAAAGUAGAGGUGAUAAGCCUACCGAACUUAGAGAUAGCUGGUUACUUAAGAAAAGAAUAUUAGUUCUUCCCUAAGUCUUAUUUUAAACAAAAAAUUCGCCUAGACUUAGGUAUUAUUCAAAUAAGGCACAGCUUAUUUGAGUUAGGACACAACCUCAAACACAGGGUAAUACGAAAUAAUAAAUUUAGCAAGUGGGCCCAAGAGCAGCCAUCUUUAAAAAAGCGUCAAAGCUUAGCUCAAUCAACUUCCUUAAUGUCUUCAUUAUUAACUAACCCUUCACCACUAUUAAGUAACUCCAUACCCCCUAUGGAAGCUAUAAUGCUAGAACUAGUAACAAGAAAAAGAUUUUCUCCAAAAUGUAAGCUUAAGCCAUAAUAGACAAUCUACUGGCAAUCAACGUAAAUGAACCUAAUAUAAUAACUUUCCUCAAGAAAACCUUAUAAUUCUUAGCGUUAACCUUACACCAGAACAUCUGUGGAAAGAUUAAAAAAGAGGGAAGGAACUCGGCAAAUUUUGAUCCCGCCUGUUUAC